AUUGAACGCUGGCGGCAUGCCUUACACAUGCAAGUCGAACGGCAGCACGGGAGCAAUCCUGGUGGCGAGUGGCGAACGGGUGAGUAAUAUAUCGGAACGUGCCCAGUCGUGGGGGAUAACGUAGCGAAAGCUACGCUAAUACCGCAUACGAUCUACGGAUGAAAGCGGGGGAUCGCAAGACCUCGCGCGAUUGGAGCGGCCGAUAUCAGAUUAGGUAGUUGGUGAGGUAAAGGCUCACCCAAGCCGACGAUCUGUAGCUGGUCUGAGAGGACGACCAGCCACACUGGGACUGAGACACGGCCCAGACUCCUACGGGAGGCAGCAGUGGGGAAUUUUGGACAAUGGGCGCAAGCCUGAUCCAGCAAUGCCGCGUGCAGGAUGAAGGCC
This 387-nucleotide ribosomal RNA is filed under the name uncultured bacterium. RNAcentral describes it as "bacterial SSU rRNA". It matches the Rfam family "Bacterial small subunit ribosomal RNA", at positions 29 to 416 of the family's 1533-position model. The record is from RNAcentral.